RNAcentral lists this ribosomal RNA (468 nucleotides) under uncultured bacterium. RNAcentral's name for it is "partial 16S ribosomal RNA". It matches the Rfam family "Bacterial small subunit ribosomal RNA", at positions 28 to 507 of the family's 1533-position model. The record is from RNAcentral.
GACGAACGCUGGCGGCGUGCUUAACACAUGCAAGUCGAACGGUGAAGCUCCAGCUUGCUGGAGUGGAUCAGUGGCGAACGGGUGAGUAACACGUGAGCAACCUGCCCCUGACUCUGGAAUAAGCGCUGGAAACGGCGUCUAAUACUGGAUACGAGAAGGGUCCGCAUGGGCACUUUCUGGAAAGUUUUUCGGUUGGGGGUGGGCUCGCGGCCUAUCAGCUUGUUGGUGAGGUAAUGGCUCACCAAGGCGACGACGGGUAGCCGGCCUGAGAGGGCGACCGGCCACACUGGGACUGAGACACGGCCCAGACUCCUACGGGAGGCAGCAGUGGGGAAUAUUGCACAAUGGGCGAAAGCCUGAUGCAGCGACGCCGCGUGAGGGAUGACGGCCUUCGGGUUGUAAACCUCUUUCAGCAGGGAAGAAGCGAAAGUGACGGUACCUGCAGAAGAAGCACCGGCUAACUACGUG